AACAGGGAUUGCCUUAGUAGCGGCGAGUGAAGCGGCAAUAGCUCAAAUUUGAAAUCUGGCGUCUUCGGCGUCCGAGUUGUAAUUUGAAGAAGGUAUCUUUGAGGCUGGCUCUUGUCUAUGUUCCUUGGAACAGGACGUCACAGAGGGUGAGAAUCCCGUGCGAUGAGAUGCCCAGUUUCGUGUAAAGUUCCUUCGACGAGUCGAGUUGUUUGGGAAUGCAGCUCUAAGUGGGUGGUAAAUUCCAUCUAAAGCUAAAUAUUGGCGAGAGACCGAUAGCGAACAAGUACUGUGAAGGAAAGAUGAAAAGAACUUUGAAAAGAGAGUGAAAAAGUACGUGAAAUUGUUGAAAGGGAAGGGCUUGAGGUCAGACUUGGUUUACCAGGCCAGCAUCAGUUUGGGUGGCAGGAUAAUAGCUAAGGAAAGUGGCACGAUUUCGGUUGUGUGUUAUAGCCUUGGUUGAUACUGCCUGCCUAGACUGAGGACUGCGUCUUUGACUAGGAUGCUGGCAUAAUGACCUUAA
RNAcentral lists this ribosomal RNA (520 nucleotides) under Yamadazyma diddensiae. RNAcentral describes it as "eukaryotic LSU rRNA". It matches the Rfam family "Eukaryotic large subunit ribosomal RNA", at positions 67 to 643 of the family's 3401-position model. The record is from RNAcentral. Lineage: Eukaryota; Fungi; Ascomycota; Pichiomycetes; Serinales; Debaryomycetaceae.